CGGCCGCGGUACCCUGACCGUGCUAAGGUAGCAUAAUCCCUUGCCUCUUAAUUAGUGGCUAGUAUGAAUGGAUAGACAAGAAUUAUACUGUCUCUACAAGAAAUCUAAAAAUUACUCCUCAAGUGAAGAAUCUUGAAUCCCAAUAAAAGACAAGAAGACCCUGUAGAGCCUUAACACUAACUUAAUCUCUAAAUAAUACUUAAAAUUAAUCUUAAAUAAUGUUUUAGUUGGGGCGACUAAGGAAUGUAUUAAAACCCUCCUUAUUACAAAAAGGCUUUCACGCCACUAUAAUGACCCAUUUUAUGUACAACGAAAUAGGCUACCUCAGGGAUAACAGUCUAAUCUUCCUCAAGAGCCCAAAUUGACAGGAAGGAUUGGCACCUCGAUGUUGGCUUAGGAAAUCUUCAAGGCGCAACAGCCUUGACAGAAGGUUUGUUCAACCUUUAAUAUCCUACGUGAUC
Molecule: ribosomal RNA, 461 nt
Filed under: Aricidea cf. catherinae JL-2018
Lineage: Eukaryota; Metazoa; Annelida; Polychaeta; Paraonidae
Description: partial large subunit ribosomal RNA
Rfam family: Bacterial large subunit ribosomal RNA
Source: RNAcentral